AAUGACACUUCGGUUGAUUUUGGAAAAGGACAGCGGCGGACGGGUGAGUAACGCGUAGGCAACCUGCCCCUGACAGAGGGAUAGCCAUUGGAAACGAUGAUUAAAACCUCAUAACGCCGAAGAAACACAUGUUUCAUCGGCCAAAGAUUUAUCGGUCAGGGAUGGGCCUGCGUCUGAUUAACUAGUUGGUGAGGUAACGGCCCACCAAGGUGACGAUCAGUAGCCGACCUGAGAGGGUGAUCGGCCACAUUGGAACUGAGACACGGUCCAAACUUCUACGGAAGGCAGCAGUAGGGAAUCUUGCACAAUGGGCGAAAGCCUGAUGCAGCAACGCCGCGUGAAGGAUGAAGGCCUUCGGGUUGUAAACUUCUGUUCUUAGGGAAGAAGAAAGUGACGGUACCUAAGGAGAAAGCCCCGGCUAACUACGUGCCAGCAGCCGCGGUAAUACGUAGGGGGCAAGCGUUAUCCGGAAUUAUUGGGCGUAAAGAGUGCGUAGGUGGUUAUCUAAGCGUAAGGUUUAAGCGUGCAGCUCAACUGCAUCUCGCCUUGCGAACUGGACUACUUGAGUGCGGGAGGGGAAAGCGGAAUUCCUAGUGUAGCGGUGAAAUGCGUAGAUAUUAGGAGGAACACCAGCGGCGAAGGCGGCUUUCUGGACUGUAACUGACACUGAGGCACG
Molecule: ribosomal RNA, 676 nt
Filed under: uncultured Clostridium sp.
Lineage: Bacteria; Bacillati; Bacillota; Clostridia; Eubacteriales; Clostridiaceae
Description: bacterial SSU rRNA
Rfam family: Bacterial small subunit ribosomal RNA
Source: RNAcentral